UGCAUAUACAGACUGAAAGUGGGAGAUCCUAGUCCACCAUCAGCAUGACUAGUUAUGCAUUUUAAAACAUGUAAUUCUACUCGUAAUCCUAUCCAAUUCGUUAGCUAGCUCGGUAUCUGUCAGGCAAUUGGAGCUGGCUGAAUUUCUGGAAAGUCUUCCGACGCCGACAGUAGCUUCUUUGCCGCUUUGGAUGCAGAGGGCAGAUGGCGUCUCCUCUGAUGGCUUGUGUACACUAGCACGUGGUAAAUUGCUGCGUGCCGCUUAUGCCGCCCAGAGUGGCUUGCAGGUAGCAUAUAGCAGCAAGUUCGAUUGUGACGUUUGAUUGUGCAUCAUGUUUGUAUGAAGGACUGGUUGAUAAAUAGUUUAAUCCAUUCUCAAUUUCAUUAAUUUAUUCACAGUUAAAUAGUAACAUGCUCUAAAACGCUCUGGUGACAAAUACAAUUUGCUGUCCUGUUUCCAAUCGUCCACAUGGCUGGGAGAACCUAUUGAAGUAACUGAAUACUGUAACAAUCGACCCUCCCGCACCCUCCCGCACGUGCAUAUGCUUUUGCGGUACAGUCGAUAGCGCGCCGGAUCUCGGGGUCGAAGGUCGAGGGUUCGAGACCUGCUCUCUGCUGUUUAAUUACAAUACAUUUCGAAAAUGUAAAAAAAAAAAACGAUGUAUUAUUAGCUAACUACCUAUAGUACAGGCUAACUCAAAUGAGCUGCUAACGUAGCUAGCUGGCUAUCUAGCCAACUUUUACAUAGUGUAUAGAUAACAAGCUAAGUGAAUUAAAUAUCACCAGCAACCUAACGUCAUAUUAGCUAGCUAUCUCUAUGAGAAAAAAAAAACUCCAAAUGCAUUUGUAGGUAGCUAGCUAACAGCCAUGGAGGAGGGUGAAAGGAUGGCUGCGCCAACUGUCAAAGUGAGAGAGUAGGUUAUUCUGGAUAGGACAGGUACUUUUCUGUAGUUCCAGUCCCUAGAAGUGAGGACGGAGAUAAUAGUAACAUAAUAUUCAGUGCGGUCUAAUUUAAGUAUAAUUAAGUCUGCUUCUUGUGAGGUUUUCUGACCUCACAUACAGGGAGCUGUGAAAGCCUGUCUGCAGAUUAAGAGUAAAUAAAUAAAUAGUGGUUCUGAGUCCUGGUCCUGGGGACUCAAAGGGGUGCACAUUUUUGUUUUUGCCUUAGCACUACACAGCUGAUUCAAAUGAUCAACUCAUCAUCAAGUGUCAAGUGGUAUUUAUGUAUUCAUUUGUGAUGCUAUCCUUGAUAUGAUCCUGCUAUUGUCACAUGCACUUGUGUGCACAUGCAUCUAUCUAUCCAAUGUCAUCAUGAUUUGCUAUAAGGGAUAUUAUACUUUAAUAAUCCACAAUGACCUGGUGAUGUAAAAGUUGAAUAAUGACAUUGUCGGAAUAUGGAAGACGGAUACCUUGUAACUGGAGAUACCUACAAAAUGAUUGCCUAGUUACCGUGUAGGGCACUGCAAGGUUGGGUGACCAGUGCUACCUGUAUCCUGCAUAACUUCAUGAGGAUGGACACGAGGACCAGGAGGGGAUCUGCAGCUGGCCGCCGUGUGCCAGAGGAGAAGUCUGCUGCUCUGCAGGAUGUUUGAAGGAUGGGGUCCAACAAUGCUGCAGGAGAGGCAAUCCGUGUGCGGGACAUCUUCACCUCCUACUUCUUAGAAGAGGGUGCUGUUCCCUGACAACAUCAUAGACUACACUAUGCACAACCAAAGGAUAUUUAUAAGCCAUCCACAUUGCAAUAACAGUAUUCUUCCAUUUACUUACCAAUGUCAACUGCAUUUAUUCAAUUCCCAGUUUAUCUCCCUUUGAUUUCUACUUCUCAGGUGAGGGUGCUGUUUAGGUAAGGGUGCGAUGUCGGCACAAAAACAAAACAGGCUAUUUUAAGUCGUGUCUGUGCAUGUUUUUCAGCAUAAAGUACUCUGCAUCCACUCAGUGUGGACUCCAGGUGAGGCCACACAGAUUCCUGUUGAAAACUGUCUUUAACUACCUUGUUUUCUCAAUAACAAUCUCUCUCCUUCUCCCUAAAUCAUCUAGGUUAUAUCAGCUGUGUCGAUGAACCCCUCCCGCAUCUGAACUGGCUACAUAGGGGGGACAGCAUUAUCAGAGGUCACCAGUCUGCUCGUUAUGGCACACACCUGUCACCAUCGUUGCGCGCACCUGCACGUCAUCAGACUCACCUGGACUCCAUCACCUCCCUGAUUAUCUUCCCUAUAUAUAUAUAUAUGUCACUCCCUUUGGUUCCUUCCCCAGGCCUUAUUGUUUCUGUUCCAGUGUCAUGUCUGUGCGUGGUUUGUGUUUUAUGUAUUAAAACACUCACUCCC
Long non-coding RNA from Oncorhynchus tshawytscha (Chinook salmon), 2323 nucleotides. Lineage: Eukaryota; Metazoa; Chordata; Actinopteri; Salmoniformes; Salmonidae. The record is from Ensembl.